CAGCCGCCGCGGGAAUACGUAGGUGGCAAGCGUUGUCCGGAAUUAUUGGGCGUAAAGCGCGCGCAGGUGGUUUAAUAAGUCUGAUGUGAAAGCCCACGGCUCAACCGUGGAGGGUCAUUGGAAACUGUUAAACUUGAGUGCAGGAGAGAAAAGUGGAAUUCCUAGUGUAGCGGUGAAAUGCGUAGAGAUUAGGAGGAACACCAGUGGCGAAGGCGGCUUUUCGGCCUGUAACUGACACUGAGGCGCGAAAGCGUGGGGAGCAAACAGGAUUAGAGACCCCGUAGUCCCUGUCUCUUAUACA
This 301-nucleotide ribosomal RNA is filed under the name uncultured bacterium. Its description in RNAcentral is "partial 16S ribosomal RNA". It matches the Rfam family "Bacterial small subunit ribosomal RNA", at positions 509 to 808 of the family's 1533-position model. The record is from RNAcentral.